UCCAUUCAUUCAUACAAAACCGUUUACAAACACAUACAAAGAAAAUUAUAAAAAAAAUGCUUCUUUGAACAAAGGUUGACUUUGGCUAACAAUUGACUUUUUGGUCAACUUUGACCAAAGUCAACCAUUUAAGACUUAAGACCUAACUCUAACUUCUUCAUCCAUCAUCCUCAUGAUCAUGUGCUUUUAAGCUUCAUGCCAAUUUUCUUCCAUGCCAUGCCACUUUCUCUUUGCACAUGAAUACCUUAAAAGGGCAAAACAAAGCCAUAAGUAUUGUCUUCAAGUUUAAAACAUGACUUUCCAAGGCAACCAUGACAUGUCAUUCAAUGGCAAUGUAAUAUCAACACCAUUGAUUUAGUAGUAGUAACAUUGACAUAGCUUAACAUUUUAACAAACUCAUAACAUUCAUUUCAUAACCAUCCUUGAAUUUGCUACCACUAACUUUUUCUUAACAUGAACAAACCAUUUCCAAUUUAUAACUAUGCAUGGACCAAAGCAAAUCGAAACUAACAAUUAAUCAUAAUUUCAGUUUUCAUAAUAAUGCAUUCAUCAACCAUUCCAAAACAUGACAAGUGCACCAAAACUAGGAACCAAAAGACUUCAAAAUCGCAAAUAAAGUUUCUAUGUGAUUACCUUACCACUAAGCUUGGGGAUUUUUUUGCCUUCUACUAUUGCUGCCCCUUUCAACAUAAUGUAUAUCCGUGGACUUCAUCAUUCAACAAUGUAUGAAUCACUAGUUCCAUGACCUACUGUCAGAAUCAAACAGAGAAAGCAAUUUAGCAUGAUCAUUACCAUCAUUUUCAUAGAAUUUUAGUCAUGACAAGAAUCAUGUUAGGGUUUCUAAUUUGCUAGCAGCAUUUAACAAGAACAACAGUUAAUUCGGUAUCUCAAUGCAGAGCUAAACCAACUCACUUCAGACCCAUAACAAAGUCAAUUAAUCACCAAAAACUAACUUCUAAUUUAACUAAUUCUGAGUUACAUGUCAACCUACCUACUAACCAAUUAACCAAUACCUACUGGAGUUCCACAUAACUGACAUAUUGACCUACAAAUAAACUAAUAUUAAUCAGUUUUCUAAUUGAACUAACAAGCUCAAACACUAACCCUACAGAACCAAUGGAUGAAAUAUAACAGAAAAUUCAAAAGAUUUCCAACGACACAUUCAUGUAACAAGGCUCAUUGCAGCUCACCAUUAGUUAACCUGGGUGUAGCGAUACAUAAUCUUUUCAUCCUAACCUAAACUAACUUAUUCCAAUUGCAAAUAACAGAAAUCCUGAAUUUAUAACUAACAUUACAUUUCAUGUGAAUUUCAUCUAAAUUUCUGACAUGCUUGGGGCUCUAUAUAAGCGUACCUUCACUGUAAUUUUGGGAGGGGAUUCAUUAUUCAGAUUUCAUUUCAAACUCUUCCAAAAGCUCUGAGAGUUCUGAUUCGUUCUUCACUCUCACUUUUCAUUCAUACAAGCAAAUUGAAUCUUCAGUCUUCUUGGAUUCAUACAUUCACACGCAGAAUCCUCUUCAUACAGGCACCAGAAACACACGAAUCACGUCACAUCAAAGGGAGAUCGAAGAAGAUUCAAGAAGAAGGAAUCGAAGACGAAUGAUUACCUCGUGGAGCACCGAGAAGCCGCUGUGCUUGAACGCUGCUUCGGUACACUUUAACCUUAUUGAAUUUAUCUCCUACUUGCAUUUCGUUUUGAGUUGGUGAUGGCGUGUUUGAGUUUUGGCGGAUUCUUCACGGCGUGUUCGGAAUUUGAGAUCUGAGCUUCAAUUCAGAUUCACGUAUUCGUUGCAACCUUCAACGAUUUGGAAAACUCAGGAGUAUGUUCUUUGAUUUGGAGUUUCAUAACUUGAAUCCAGAAUGCGAAGGAGAAUGAAGAACGCGAUGCUGAAUAUUGGAACGUGAUACUGACUUUUUCAUAUGAGCGCCUUUGUUCUUCAGCUUGGUGAACUUUCCCAUUUUGUAGCUUGGAUUAGGUUUGGUCCUAAGGCUUAAACGAUUUGUUCUAUGCACACACUUGCCAUGGACCUACAACUCCCUAGAGCGACCGCGCUUGGCUGGACAUGUGGCCCAUUCUGAAUCCCUCAUGGAACCCCUUUUUUGGCAACUGUUCAGCGCUUGGGCUUUGAGCUCCAGGCCCAAACGUUUUUGCUGGCUAACACCCACAUUCCAAACGCAU
Molecule: long non-coding RNA, 2177 nt
Filed under: Lathyrus oleraceus (garden pea)
Lineage: Eukaryota; Viridiplantae; Streptophyta; Magnoliopsida; Fabales; Fabaceae
Description: Pisum sativum (pea) long non-coding RNA (PSAT_LNC036337)
Source: RNAcentral